This 1721-nucleotide long non-coding RNA is filed under the name Phasianus colchicus (ring-necked pheasant). RNAcentral describes it as "lncRNA (ENSPCLG00000007294.1)". Lineage: Eukaryota; Metazoa; Chordata; Aves; Galliformes; Phasianidae. The record is from RNAcentral.
GGCAUGGGCCAAUGAGAUGCAUGCACUAGUGAUAUCUGAAGAACUAGCAAAUGAUGUCCUGGGAGCUGAACUGCUUAUCAAACGUCAUGAGGAAUACAAGCGUGAGAUAGAGAAGCAGUGGCUAAAAUAUGAAGAAAUACAGCGGGCAGGAGAUGACCUAAUGAGGAAUGGACAUUUCAUGUCUGUGGAGAUUGAAGAAAAACUGCUAGAGCUGUCAGAGCUGAUGAAGAAAGUAAAGGAGAGCUGGAACAUGAGGAAAGAGUUGUAUGAAGAAAACUGGGAGAUUCAAUUGCUCCGCAGAGAGCUAGAACAAGCAGAAGCAUGGCUGGCUGCCAAGGAGAGCUUUCUUUCAGACCCCAGCUAUGGGGAUUCUGUGUCUGAAGUAGAGGAACUACUGAAGAAACAUCGUGACUUUGAGAACAUGCUUGCAGCUCAGGAGGAGAAAUUUGCUCAGCUCAGCAGGAAAACUAAGGUGAGAUGUAAGAGGCUGAUUAGCUGUAUCUGAGACAGGAUGAUCUAGAAUCUUAGGUAUCUGGAGUCGGUCAUUCCAUGUAAGAAUACUCAAUGCUUCCACAGCAAACUUAGAGAAGCAGUGGCAGUUUCUCUAGAGGUUAUUAAAGUCUCUAGAUAAGGUCUCAAGGUUAUUAAAGUCUCUAGCUCAGGGUAUAGCAAAUAAAUUUAUUUCUAAUGGUUAGAAUGCCAGUGAAGGUAUAGUCCUUAAAAUUUAGUGCCAGAAUAGAGUGCAUUUGAAACACAUUCGUGCUUAAAAUAAAAGCUUCUCUGGAAAGUACCCAUGAGUGCACAUACACAGGUAAUUUAAAAAAUGUAAUAUUUAUGUCCUACAGAGGGAGAUGAAUCUUCUGAAACAGACAGAUGCAGAAGAAAGUGAGCAGAAAGAUAAAGGCAAAAUUGUACGGGUACCUUCUCUGAAAAGAAAAACAUCUGACAAAAGGAAUCCACCACCAAAAGUGAUAGAGAUAAGGAACACAAAGCCAGUGCAAUCUGUGCAACCACCACUCCUGUCCUGGACUCCACUUGAAACAAUUUUCUCCCCAGUUGAAAAGCCUGCAGUAGCAUUCCAACAAUUUGCUUCUGGGAAAGUUCCUGAGGUGCUGAGCAGCAAAAAAACAGAAAUGAAACCUGAGAGGAGACUCAGUGAGAUUAUCACUCCACCUACACCAAAGACAGUGGACCCACAAGCUACAUCUUUGGCGCAUCACAGUUCUUUAAGCUCUCCUUUAUCUCCUACACCCAUAAGCCUGCAACGCAGCAGCAAUUUCUCAGAAUCAUAUGCCGUGGGCCUUUUAUCACCUCAAGAAAAAAGUACUGAAAGCUACUCCUUCUCCAAUCUGCAAACAAAAUUAGCGGCAACAUCACCCAAGCCUGACCAGAAUUCAUUAAAUAAAUCACCAGAUUUACUGCUGUCUAGGUCCUCACGGGAUACAUUGGAGACUGCAUCCUUGGUUUCUGCAAGUCUCCAGCAUAUGGAGGGGUUCCUGGAAAAGAGAGACCAGCUUCUUCCAGGACGGCAACAGGUAGAAAAAAAAUGCCCCUAUUCUGGUUUAAUUCACCUUUCCUUGAGUUACAGUCCAGAUCAGGUCAGACUUCUUCAGGAUAAAACUAUGGUGAAGAGGAGAGCAGGACUGUAGGUUUAAAUCAGUUACUGCUAAAGAAGUGUCCACUGAUUUCAUUAGUACCUGAUCCUGUCCUUAACAGACAUU